UUAAGCUUCAUCUGUUCUUCCCCUUGUCAUAUGCAAAAUAUUCAUCAUCUAAUCUGCAUAUUGGGAAUGACAACUAAGCCAUACAAUCCAAGAAAAUCUGUGUAUUUCUGCUCUGAAAACUUUAACUUUUGAUAACUGCGAAACAUCAAAUACCUCAGUUAAGGUAAUUUAAAAAAAAGCAAGUGAAGAAUUCCAUCUCUUCUGUUACUGGUCUAGUCUAUGUAUUCUCAAGGAAGAAUUCCAUGAGGAGAUUUGAUGGUUCGGAAGAUGGUAAUGGAUUGUCAGGGAACCAGCUGAACAGGCUGCUUCUGAACAUGAUUCAUCAUCUCUUGAAACAGAUGAACUUUUCAGAUACCCACAGUGUUCUCCCAGUUGGAGGCAUUUAGCUUUUCACCAUGCGCCUUCACCUGCAACCUCCCAACGCCUGAAGUCACCAAGUCCUGUUCGAAGUCUCUCUCCUCUUCAAUACAGGUUGCACUCCGGUGUGGAUUUCAGCUGGGAGAAGAUCAACGAGCGGGUGCGGAGUCUCCUCACCUCAGCACAGGCCAAGCAGCGGCUUUCCUCUGUCUGCAGACUGUUUAUUUGCUACACCUGGCAACUGCCACAUAGGCACGUGGCUCCCAGCUCCCUGCCUAGCUACAAGUGAAAGGGUUUGAAGAGAGAGGGUUAGAUGCUUCAACCCGAGGAAAGUUACACAGUCAAGAAACAGGCUCUCAAGUGAUACUUCCCACAGCUUUUUGUUUCAGCACCUGGAGCGGCAUUUCUUAAUCUGUUUACCUCCUUAGGUAGAGCAGUGGGAAAACUCAAUAUCCAAUCAUAAGCUUGUUUAGCAAGAAUUGGAGGCUGCGAGGAGGUGGAAAACUGCGCAACAGUUACUUCAGCCACAGCAGCAGGAAUGCAUUUCCAGUAAUAUGCUGUGCUUACUGUCRUAGGCAUUUAGCUUGCCUUCUCAACUGGAAGCCCUAGUUCUUCACUUAGCAACACUAUGUGCCAAUCCUCUUAAGAAAGUAAGAGUUUAUUUUCACUCUCAACUAUGAAACACAAGAGGGACAGCAACAAAAACUGCCAACCUGCUAUUAGAAAAAGGUACCUGCGAAAGACAGAGAAUAAUUC
Molecule: long non-coding RNA, 1113 nt
Filed under: Apteryx owenii (little spotted kiwi)
Lineage: Eukaryota; Metazoa; Chordata; Aves; Apterygiformes; Apterygidae
Description: lncRNA (ENSAOWG00000003181.1)
Source: RNAcentral